GACGAACGCUGGCGGCGUGCUUAACACAUGCAAGUCGAGCGGUAAGGCCCUUUCGGGGGUACACGAGCGGCGAACGGGUGAGUAACACGUGGGUGACCUGCCCUCCAGCUCUGGGAUAAGCCUGGGAAACCGGGUACUAAUACUGGAUAUGACUCCAUGACGCAUGUUGUGGGGUGGAAAGCCUUGUGCGGCUGAGGAUGGGCCCGCGGCCUAUCAGCUUGUUGGUGGGGUGAGGCCUACCAAGGCGACGACGGGUAGCCGGCCUGAGAGGGCGACCGGCCACACUGGGA
This 290-nucleotide ribosomal RNA is filed under the name uncultured bacterium. RNAcentral describes it as "partial 16S ribosomal RNA". It matches the Rfam family "Bacterial small subunit ribosomal RNA", at positions 28 to 318 of the family's 1533-position model. The record is from RNAcentral.